GACGAACGCUGGCGGCGUGCUUAACACAUGCAAGUCGAACGGAAAGGCCCUGCUUUUGUGGGGUGCUCGAGUGGCGAACGGGUGAGUAACACGUGAGUAACCUGCCCUUGACUUUGGGAUAACUUCAGGAAACUGGGGCUAAUACCGGAUCGGAGCUCCUGCUGCAUGGUGGGGGUUGGAAAGUUUCGGCGGUUGGGGAUGGACUCGCGGCUUAUCAGCUUGUUGGUGGGGUAGUGGCUUACCAAGGCCUUGACGGGUAGCCGGCCUGAGAGGGUGACCGGCCACAUUGGGACUGAGAUACGGCCCAGACUGCUACGGGAGGCAGCAGUGGGGAAUAUUGCACAAUGGGCGGACGCCUGAUGCAGCAACCCCGCGUGCGGGAUGACGGCCUUCGGGUUGUAAACCGCUUGCGCCUGUGACGAAGCGUGAGUGACGGUAAUGGGUAAAGAAGCACCGGCUAACUACGUG
RNAcentral lists this ribosomal RNA (468 nucleotides) under uncultured bacterium. Its description in RNAcentral is "partial 16S ribosomal RNA". It matches the Rfam family "Bacterial small subunit ribosomal RNA", at positions 28 to 507 of the family's 1533-position model. The record is from RNAcentral.